GUUACUGUGGCUGUGGUGUAGGUCGGCAAUGACAGCUCUGAUUCGACCUCUAGACUAGGAACCUCCAUAGGCCACCAGUGUGGCCCUAAAAAGAAAUUAUACAUGGUAAUGACAUUACUGUUAUUUACAAAAUCAAGGACUGACAAGGGCUAGGUGCCAGCCUCUGCUGAAGCACGUACAUAAUUAUUUCCAUUUAUUUCUCACCACGACCCUCUGGUUACCCCAAUAUUACACAUGAGGCAACUGAAGCCACCUUCUCCUUGAAAUCUAUUAUUCUCCGCGAGCACAAAGGAAAAUCGAACUAAAUUUACUGACAAAGUCAGAAAAGGCUUUACAGAAGGUUAACUUUUUCAGAGGGGUCGGCAAGAAGUCUGGGUUUCCCCGAGCAGGGCAAGAAUCUGGAACUCUGAAAGCAUAAUACCUGCUUCCAAGGCUAGUUAGGAGACGCUAACAAAAUAAGAUAUGUAAAACCCUAGCCCAGUGCCGGGCAAGAAGGAGAUACUCUCCAAGUAUCUGGUCCCCUGUGGGGGUAGGAACGUGUGACCACUUUCCUCAUGCACCUUGGUUUUUAGAAGACCCCCAAGUCGUAAACUCUGUGCAGGUGACUCCGUGAAGAUCCCUGCCCUCAGUUCAGAGGUGGAAAGUGUUUGUGAAUGCUAGCCAGGGCAGUGGCCCCCACCUCUUCAUUGCACACACACACAUGCACACACAGUUGCUGAGGAGUUCCUGGAAAACACCAGCCUCUCUUUUGGAUCAAAAUAACUGAGUGGUCUCCCUUUGUGGCUGGUAUGGAGGAACACCCUAGAUGGGUAACUCAGCAGGUGCCGUUGACAUUAGCAACCACAGGGGCUCACACAGAGUGCCCGACUCACGGUGGGGGCCCCCCCUCUAAGUCAGAGCCUGUGCAUAGAUGCUCUUCCUCCCAGAGUGCCCAGAACACCCUGGAGCAGCUUGAAGGCUCAUCCCCCCUUCAGAACUGUUUUAUUUUAAAGGACACAUUUAAUGACCACGACUUCUGGCUCCUUGAAGAAGAAGAAAAAAGUUCCCUCGCCACACUCCCCUCAUUGGAGAGUUAAUCAAGCCUACUCACUAGCAGAUGAUGUAAUCCUGGUGGCUUCCUCGAUCAGGUCCAGGCGGCCUGUCCCCCUGAGCUAAUUGCCCUGUUUCACACCUGUUCCUUCUCAGGAGGCCCUGGCACCCUAGCGCCUGGUGCCUGCGCCACCUCCUCUCUCUGCCAGGACACCCGCUGGCCCUCGUGGAUGGCCAGGCCCCUCCACAGCCUGGGGCUUGGGGGUGGGGUUGUUUCCUUCUCACUUCUGCGGGAGGCCACUUGCUGUUCUGUGAGUGUUGCAAGCCCAGGGCUCCGAGGCGGUGGGCCGCCUGGUUGUCCAUCUGAUGGGGGUGGAGGGGGGGAACCAUGGUUCCUGCAGUGAGCUCUCACACAACAUGUGCUCUGCCCGGCUCCCUGAAUCUUCUCCAAGGAAGGGUCUCUGUGCUGUGUAGACAGCAACUGCUGUUUGGCCCAAAUCCUCAUUCAGACCCUCCUUCUCUGGUUGAGAAAGUGGAGACGACUCACAAUCUACAGCUUUGAACCGGCUCCAACAGACCCUCCGGUUCCAAGGAGCCAUCACUGACCCCAUGCGAGUUCAGCACGCUCCUCCCAGGGCUGCUCCCUUUGAACUUCUCCCCUGCACCUUCGGCCAGAGCGUGUCAACACCCUGGCCAUCACUCUUCCUGCAGCGGCUGACAACACAGGCCCCCGCCAAGGCUGCUCCGGGAGAAGAAAGCAAAAUUAUUUCCACAGUGGAGGUGGUGCUGAGCACAAGAGUCGGAAUCUAGCCGGGAAAAGCAGAGCAGAAGAGACAAAUCCAGGCUGUGCUGGAGGGGCCUCUGCCUCGCUGGUCGGGAGAAAGCAACUGCUCUAUCUCUGGCCUGCCCCUCGGACUGCAGAGCUGCGGGUCAUCGGCCUAAACCGCUUCAGUGCACACCACGCCUGGGUCUACGUGGAAAUGGUGGCACGCACUUAAAUGGAAUGUCCAACCUUUGUCCUCAGCCCUGAAACCACAGAUCCUGUGGUUCUGUAGCAGGUGGAAGCAGGCUGGUAAAGGGGAAGGACCACAGACCGUGGCGGAUCCAUGUCCACUCGUCAGCUCUGCCUCUCCCUGUGUGACUUGGGGGAAGUUCCUCCACCUCCAAGCCUCCUUCUUUGCCUCUUAUUCACCAAGAGACAAUAACCGAAAAUGCUCAUCCCGUGAGGACCCCGGGAAUGAAAUGAGAUCACACAUGUGAAGCAUGUAGCAUCUUGCUGGACAUAGGCCAGGUGCUGAAAACAGGGGUGAGUGGCUAAUAGAAAGUGGCUUUUUACCUCCUGUUUCUACUAUAAACUUAUAUAAACAUAUUACCAAAGCCUUAGGAAAUAGAAAAAGCCACCCAUAUUCAUAACUAUUAUCAUUAUUAUAUAUUCCCUCCAGGAUUUUUCCAAUGCAUGGGUUUUUGUUUUUUUUUUCUCACAGAUACAGUUAGUUUGUCUUUGUAAUCUCAGCGUCUGUGAAUAAAGUUUUAUUAACACA
This is a non-coding RNA of Sus scrofa (pig), 2570 nucleotides long. The record is from RefSeq and is a predicted model, not a curated record. Lineage: Eukaryota; Metazoa; Chordata; Mammalia; Artiodactyla; Suidae.